RNAcentral lists this ribosomal RNA (465 nucleotides) under Vreelandella stevensii. RNAcentral describes it as "partial 16S ribosomal RNA". It matches the Rfam family "Bacterial small subunit ribosomal RNA", at positions 338 to 795 of the family's 1533-position model. Lineage: Bacteria; Pseudomonadati; Pseudomonadota; Gammaproteobacteria; Oceanospirillales; Halomonadaceae. The record is from RNAcentral.
CCUACGGGAGGCAGCAGUGGGGAAUAUUGGACAAUGGGGGCAACCCUGAUCCAGCCAUGCCGCGUGUGUGAAGAAGUCCCUCGGGUUGUAAAGCACUUUCAGUGAGGAAGAACGCCUGGUGGUUAAUACCCAUCAGGAAAGACAUCACUCACAGAAGAAGCACCGGCUAACUCCGUGCCAGCAGCCGCGGUAAUACGGAGGGUGCGAGCGUUAAUCGGAAUUACUGGGCGUAAAGCGCGCGUAGGUGGCUUGAUAAGCCGGUUGUGAAAGCCCCGGGCUCAACCUGGGAACGGCAUCCGGAACUGUCAAGCUAGAGUGCAGGAGAGGAAGGUAGAAUUCCCGGUGUAGCGGUGAAAUGCGUAGAGAUCGGGAGGAAUACCAGUGGCGAAGGCGGCCUUCUGGACUGACACUGACACUGAGGUGCGAAAGCGUGGGUAGCAAACAGGAUUAGAUACCCUUGUAGUC